GCAAACAGCCAUAUCAACCUGCAGCCCAAGACCGGUUACUCACUGAAGCUAAGCAGGGCUGAGCCUGGUUAGUACCUGGAUGGGAGACCACUAGGGAACACUAGGUUGCUGUUGGAA
This 117-nucleotide ribosomal RNA is filed under the name Danio rerio (zebrafish). Lineage: Eukaryota; Metazoa; Chordata; Actinopteri; Cypriniformes; Danionidae. The record is from RNAcentral.